UCUCCGGUUUCCGCUUUUCCUUGCCUC
Molecule: small RNA, 27 nt
Filed under: Bombyx mori (domestic silkworm)
Lineage: Eukaryota; Metazoa; Arthropoda; Insecta; Lepidoptera; Bombycidae
Description: ovarian small RNA-29652
Source: RNAcentral